AGAAAUCAUGAGUGGAGGAUCUCAAGUCCACAUUUUUUGGGGUGCUCCAGUUGCUCCACUGAAAAUGACAGUAUCAGAAGACACAGCUUCUUUAAUGUCUGUUGCUGACCCCUGGAAAAAAAUUCAGCUUUUAUACAGUCAACAUUCUUUAUAUCUGAAGGAUGAAAAACAGCACAAAAAUCUUGAAAACUAUGAAGUCCCAGAUUCUAUUGGUUCUCCAGAUCUUUGUGGUCAUUUCUUAGCAAACUGUAUGAAUAGACAUGUUCAUGUGAAAGAUGACUUUGUACGUUCUGUUUCUGAAACACAGAAUAUAGAAUCCCAGAAGAUUCACUCCUCUAGACUGAGUGGCAUAACUAGCUCUAAUAUGCAAAUAUGUGGAUUUAAAAGCACAGUUCCGCAUUUAACCGAAGAAGAAAAGUAUCAAAGCUUCUCAGUGAAAAUAAAAUUAGAGAUGAACAGCCUAAACAUCAGCCAGAUAUAUGUGGUCAGAACUUUAACACAAAUUUGUUUCAGUUGGGCCAUAAAUGUGCAGCUGUGUUGGAUUUGGUUUGUAGUACUGAAAAAAUUAAUAUAGGGCCUGAAGUGGUACAAAGAGAGUGUGUGCCAACAGAAUAUCAUGAAAUACAAAACCAGCGUUUGGGAUUAUUUUCCUCGAACUCAGUAGAUAAGUCAAGGUCUGAAGCAGCAGUUAAGAAGGUCUCAGACCUUAAAAUAUCAACUGAUAAAGAAUUUCUCAGUAUAAUUACCUCCAGCCAGGUUGCUUUUUUUAGCUCAAAAGAAAGAUAAAAGGCGGAGUCCUGUAAAUAAAGGGAAUGUAAACAUGGAGACUGAACCAAAGGCAAGUUACGGGGAGAUAAGAAUACCUGAAGAGAAUUCGAUUCAGCUUGAUGGUUUUACAGAAGCAUAUGAAAGUGGACAAAACCAAGCAUAUUCCCUUGAACUUUUUAGUCCUGUUUGUCCUAAAACAGAAAAUAGCCGCAUUCACAUAAACUCUGAUAAAGGUCUUGAAGAACAUACAGGAUCUCAAGAACUUUUCAGUUCUGAAGAUGAACUGCCACCAAAUGAGAUACGUAUUGAGUUGUGUAGCUCAGGAAUACUGUGUUCCCAACUAAAUACCUUCCACAAAAGUGCUAUUAAAAGAAGCUGUACCUCUGAAGAUAAAGUGGCCCAGUCUGAAGCUCUAUCUAGAGUCCUUCAAGUAGCUAAGAAAAUGAAGUUGAUUUCUAAUGGAGGAGAUUCUGCUGUAGAAAUGGAUCGGAGAAAUGUGUCUGAAUUUAAGAGUAUUAAAAAAAUCAUUAAUAAAAAACUGUGAUUCUAAAAGCCAGAAGUAUAAUUGUUUAGUCAUGGUGCUAUCUCCAUGCCAUGUGAAGGAAAUAAACAUAAAAUUCGGACCAAAUUCUGGCUCUAAAGUGCCUUUAGCAACAGUUACAGUAAGUGAUCAAUCAGAAACUAAGAAGAAGGUUUUUCUGUGGAGGACUGCAGCAUUUUGGGCAUUUACAGUGUUUCUUGGAGAUAUAAUUUUACUCACGGAUGUUGUUAUUCAUGAGGACCAAUGGAUUGGUGAGACAGUACUACAAUCAACAUUUAGCAGUCAGUUAUUAAAUCUUGGGAGUUAUUCAUCUAUUCAGCCUGAAGAAUAUUCCAGUGUAGUUAGUGACGUUGUACUUCAAGACUUACUGGCAUAUGUGUCCUCAAAACAUUCCUACCUCAGAGAUCUUCCUCCGAGACAGCCUCAGAGGGUGAACAGUAUAGACUUUGUAGAAUUGGAGCACCUUCAACCUGAUGUGUUAGUCCACGCAGUACUAAGAGUUGUUGAUUUCCUAUACUGACAGAGGCAGUAUACAGUUAUAGAGGACAGAAGCAGAAAAAAGUUAUGUUAACAGUGGAACAGGCCCAAGAUCAACAUUAUGCGCUUGUAUUAUGGGGUCCUGGAGCAGCCUGGUACCCUCAACUUCAAAGGAAAAAAGGAGUGGUUCUAAUUAAAGCCCAGAUUUCAGAGCUGGCAUUUCCUCUUACAGCAGCUCAGAAGAUAUCUCUAAAUGCUCACAGUUCUCUGAAGAGUAUUUUUUCUUCUCUUCCCAACAUCAUAUAUACUGGCUGUGCAAAAUGUGGAUUGGAACUAGAAACAGAUGAGAACAGGAUCUACAAACAAUGUUUUAGCUGCUUGCCAUUUACUAUGAAGAAAAUAUAUUAUAGGCCAGCGUUAAUGACUGCCGUUGAUGGAAGACAUAAUGUUUACAUCCAUGUAGAAUCAAAGCUGAUAGAGAAGAUUCUUCUCAACAUUUCUGCAGACUGCCUCAACAGAGUGAUAGUUCCUUCCUCAGAGAUCACCUAUGGGAUGGUUGUGGCAGACCUGUUCCACUCCUUGUUGGCAGUCAGCGCAGAACCUUGUGUAUUGAAGAUUCAGAGCCUUUUUGUGUUAGAUGAAAACAGCUAUCCAUUACAACAAGAUUUCUCCCUCCUGGAUUUUUAUCCUGACAUGGUAAAGCAUGGAGCCAAUGCCCGUCUCUGAGGCCAGAGGAAGAAAUUGCAGGCAUUUCAAGGAAGAAGUACUGAAAUGAUUUGUCUUUUGAAAUAAAUGAAUGACAGGGCUUUUGCUUUGGAUUUUUUAUGAAAUAUAUUUUACAAAGAGAAUUGCACUAGAUAUAUAAAUUAAAACUUUUUUCUAAGAAAAUCCUGUGAGGUUUAAAAAGAUUGUUUUUGUCUUUUGGUUUCUUCCUUUCUUCUGGAGAAAUGAUCUACCAGUCAAGGCAAUAUGUAGCAGAUCCCUGGGAAUUAAAGGUUUGCCCAUUUGUUCACUGUAUUUAGUCCCUGCUACAUUCCAGGCAUCGUACUAAGUAUGGGGAACCACAGAGAAGACACUCCUUCAGAAACUGCUGCAGUGCUUUCGCUUAUCCCUACCUAAAAAACCGUCAAUGUGAAAUCAUUUCCUUGAUUAUAACUAUAAUGAUAAUGGAUUAGUUUAUAUAAACCUAUGUUUAGACAAGUUCAAGACAAGCGUGUCUUUCUAUAAAAAGUAUUGAAAGUGAAGGAAAUGAGAUCAUGUUUCAAUUUAUUAAAGCAGGGAAGAGCGUUCUGUGGUUAGUUCGUGUCUAGGAUUUGAGUGCCUUACUGAAUGUAUUUACCAGCAAACAUGUAGCAAUCUGUUCUCUCAUUGUGAUUGUGGAAGAAGCUCAUGUAAAAUGAUAGUCAUUAAUGAGGAAGUAUGGCGUGGUACUUAUUCUGUAAGUUCAGAGUAUGCUGAGUGUUAAUAGAUUGUCAUAUUGCCUGAAAAUAAAUUCAUGAUGACAUGAA
RNA transcript from Homo sapiens (human), 3294 nucleotides. It is a transcript of the gene named shieldin complex subunit 2 pseudogene 3, with no coding region annotated. The record is from RefSeq and is marked validated. The transcript is spliced from 7 exons. Lineage: Eukaryota; Metazoa; Chordata; Mammalia; Primates; Hominidae.